Molecule: ribosomal RNA, 923 nt
Filed under: Bacillus sp. (in: firmicutes)
Lineage: Bacteria; Bacillati; Bacillota; Bacilli; Caryophanales; Bacillaceae
Description: bacterial SSU rRNA
Source: RNAcentral
GCAAGUCGAGCGAAUCUGAUGGGAGCUUGCUCCCUGAUGAUUAGCGGCGGACGGGUGAGUAACACGUGGGUAACCUGCCUGUAAGACUGGGAUAACUCCGGGAAACCGGGGCUAAUACCGGAUAACUUUUUUCUUCGCAUGARGGAGAAUUGAAAGAUGGCYUCGGCUAUCACUUACAGAUGGACCCGCGGCGCAUUAGCUAGUUGGUGAGGUAACGGCUCACCAAGGCGACGAUGCGUAGCCGACUUGAGAGGGUGAUCGGCCACACUGGGACUGAGACACGGCCCAGACUCCUACGGGAGGCAGCAGUAGGGAAUCUUCCGCAAUGGACGAAAGUCUGACGGAGCAACGCCGCGUGAGUGAUGAAGGUUUUCGGAUCGUAAAACUCUGUUGUUAGGGAAGAACAAGUAUCGUUCGAAUAGGGCGGUACCUUGACGGUACCUAACCAGAAAGCCACGGCUAACUACGUGCCAGCAGCCGCGGUAAUACGUAGGUGGCAAGCGUUGUCCGGAAUUAUUGGGCGUAAAGCGCGCGCAGGCGGUUUCUUAAGUCUGAUGUGAAAUCUUGCGGCUCAACCGCAAGCGGCCAUUGGAAACUGGGAGACUUGAGUGCAGAAGAGGAGAGUGGAAUUCCACGUGUAGCGGUGAAAUGCGUAGAGAUGUGGAGGAACACCAGUGGCGAAGGCGACUCUCUGGUCUGUAACUGACGCUGAGGCGCGAAAGCGUGGGGAGCGAACAGGAUUAGAUACCCUGGUAGUCCACGCCGUAAACGAUGAGUGCUAAGUGUUAGAGGGUUUCCGCCCUUUAGUGCUGCAGCUAACGCAUUAAGCACUCCGCCUGGGGAGUACGGCCGCAAGGCUGAAACUCAAAGGAAUUGACGGGGGCCCGCACAAGCGGUGGARCAUGUGGUUUAAUUCGAAGCAA